AGGUAAAUUCUGACCCGCACGAAAGGUGUAAUGAUCCCUUCGCUGUCUCGGCUGCAGACUCGGUGAAAUUUUAGUACCGGUGAAGAUGCCGGUUACCCGCAACUAGACGGAAAGACCCCGUGGAGCUUUACUAUAACUUGAUAUUGAAAUUUGGUGUAACGUGUAGAGGAUAGGUGGGAGACUAUGAGACCAGGACGCCAGUACUGGUGGAGUCAACCUUGGAAUACCACCCUCGUUACAUUGGGUUUCUAACUUCGACCCGUUAUCCGGGUUAAGGACAGUGUCUGGUGGGUAGUUUGACUGGGGCGGUCGCCUCCCAAAAAGUAACGGAGGCGCUCAAAGGUAUCCUCAGUAUGGUUGGAAAUCAUACAUAGAGCGCAAAGGUAGAAGGAUGCUUAACUGCGAGACUUACAAGUCGAACAGAUACGAAAGUAGGACUUAGUGAUCCGGCGGUCCCGAGUGGAAGGGCCGUCGCUCAACGGAUAAAAGUUACCCCGGGGAUAACAGGCUUAUCUCCCCCAAGAGUUCACAUCGACGGGGAGGUUUGGCACCUCGAUGUCGGCUCAUCGCAUCCUGGAGCUGUAGUCGGUUCCAAGGGUUGGGCUGUUCGCCCAUUAAAGCGGUACGCGAGCUGGGUUCAGAACGUCGUGAGACAGUUUGGUCCCUAUCUGUUGUGGGCGUAGGAAAAUUGAAGAGAGCUGUUCCUAGUACGAGAGGACCGGAAUGGACGCACCCCUGGUGCUCCUGUUGUCACGCCAGUGGCAUAGCAGGGUAGCUAUGUGCGGACAGGAUAAUCGCUGAAGGCAUCUAAGCGAGAAGCCCCCUUUAAGAUGAAUUUUCCCAUUUGUAAGAUGUAAGAUCCCAUGUAGACCAC
Molecule: ribosomal RNA, 874 nt
Filed under: Listeria monocytogenes
Lineage: Bacteria; Bacillati; Bacillota; Bacilli; Caryophanales; Listeriaceae
Description: partial 23S ribosomal RNA
Rfam family: Bacterial large subunit ribosomal RNA
Source: RNAcentral